Molecule: long non-coding RNA, 1024 nt
Organism: Zonotrichia leucophrys gambelii
Lineage: Eukaryota; Metazoa; Chordata; Aves; Passeriformes; Passerellidae
Exons: 3
Source: RefSeq, a predicted model, not a curated record
AGAUUGAGGCCAUGAAGAUAAGAGCCAGUGCUCAGCUGAGGAGCUGGCCAGGUCUCAGAAGAGGCUUGGUGGGAGAUUUUGCCAGUUUGAGUAAUGCAUUGACUGACUACAUACUGAGACUACUGAGCUUUGCUGAAAUCUAGAACAGGAAGGAGGGUUUCAUGAGUAAUAGCUCACUGAAGGUAUUUGAUGGUUAACAUCUACCACAACAGAGUAGAUGUUGUGAAGCUGAAAUGCAGUGGAAAUCUGACUGACACAGGGGACCUCAGCUCCUGCCUCUCAAUGAGCUCAGCACCCCCAGGGACUGCAGCUGCACUUUCCUCUCGGUGGCAGCUCAGCACAGAGCUGUCUGUAACCCACAGUGCUCACAGUCACUAGGUACACAGGCCGCUGCCUGCCUAUCAGCAGUGUGUCAACAUGACCUGCCCUGGGCUGUGUCAGCAGAGCUGCCCAAAUGUUCCGGGAUCCAAGGAGGAGCAAUUCCCCCUCAGCAGGCUGGCUGACGUCAGGGCACCAUGGUGGUGUGCUCUGGGGAGCUUUGGAAGGGCUGGGGCACACUCAGCCAGCCUGCUACAAGCCUCAAACCAGAACUUUGGUCCAAAUGCUACUGAAGUCAGUGGGAAGGUUGGCAUUGACUUCUGUGAGCAUCAGCUCAAUUACUUCAAGAAGAAAAAUUUCAGUCCUCAUGGACCUUCAGAGCAGGUAACAAUGGUGGCUGAGAACAACAGCUCUGGUAACGUUGUUAGGGUAACAUCCAUCCAACAAGAACUAAACCAAGACACACUUCUUUGCCAUUCCCCAUGUGACAUCCACAGACAAAAGCUCUCUGCUGCUGCCUCCUUUGGAUAGUGUUCAAAACACUGAAUGAAAUGCAGAAAAUCUAAAUAAAUAAUUUUUUCACCUGUCCUACUUUUUAUUUAACUCUCCUGCAGUUUAAGAAUCAACACUGGAGAAAUGCUUUUCACCAACAGCAACUGAAGUUCCUGCUGUUGCACUUUCUUAAUUCUGAUCAACUUUAGCCACU